AUUGAACGCUGGCGGCAUGCUUUACACAUGCAAGUCGAACGGUAACAGGCCUUCGGGUGCUGACGAGUGGCGAACGGGUGAGUAAUGCAUCGGAACGUACCCAGAGGUGGGGGAUAACGCAGCGAAAGCUGUGCUAAUACCGCAUGUGAUCUGAGGAUGAAAGCGGGGGACCGAGCAGCAAUGUUUGGCCUCGCGCCUUUGGAGCGGCCGAUGUCGGAUUAGCUAGUUGGUGGGGUAAAGGCCUACCAAGGCGACGAUCCGUAGCUGGUCUGAGAGGACGACCAGCCACACUGGGACUGAGACACGGCCCCGACUCCUACGGGAGGCAGCAGUGGGGAAUUUUGGACAAUGGGCGCGAGCCUGAUCCAGCAAUGCCGCGUGCGGGAAGAAGGCCUUCGGGUUGUAAACCGCUUUUGGCAGGAACGAAACGGUGUCCGCUAAUACCGGGCGCUAAUGACGGUACCUGCAGAAUAAGCACCGGCUAACUACGUG
Molecule: ribosomal RNA, 492 nt
Filed under: uncultured bacterium
Lineage: Bacteria
Description: partial 16S ribosomal RNA
Rfam family: Bacterial small subunit ribosomal RNA
Source: RNAcentral